RNAcentral lists this small nuclear RNA (23 nucleotides) under Arabidopsis thaliana (thale cress). RNAcentral's name for it is "snRNA_09725". The record is from RNAcentral. Lineage: Eukaryota; Viridiplantae; Streptophyta; Magnoliopsida; Brassicales; Brassicaceae.
CAUAGAAUUGUUAAGAUAUGCUC